UUUGCCUGGGAGGCUGUUAGGAACGGGGAAUCUUGGUCUCUACCCCAGACCUACUGACUCAGAAUCUUCAGAUCCCAGGGACAGCUGUGCCAUACUGAAAACCACCACCGGGGGGCAGCAGAAUCCAGACGUCCCGGUGAGGAGAGUGGAAAGGCCAUGGACUGAGGAGCCAGGAAGGACACACAGGGGGCAAGAGGGAUGGAGGGCCUUAACCUCGCCCUCCUCCUUCACCUCGCCCUCCACACACAGAAACAAACACUCCCGCUCCUGCAGAGUCACCUGAGCACUUUUACUGUCUCCUCGUCCAGAUGCAACAUAUGACUGACAAAAUGAAGAGGUCCACGUCUGUGGUGAGAACCUGACUUCCAGAUGCAGUGUGGUCUUGCCUUAUAAGAAUAAAGGAAAAGCAACCAGCCUCGUCAGCAAUGACUCCGUGUGAAUGAGGACAUCCAAACUGAUAGUAAAGUGCGGUCGGCAAUGGAAAGAACCCAACGCGGUACCUGCGCAGUUCAUCCACAGACCCUGGUAAACCCAAGUGGCCGUUAUCACCGAGGAUGCUCGGGUAGUUACUUUCCACUCAUUGGACGCGGUGGCAGCGACGAGAGCGCCAAAGCCCCCGACGCCAAACACCAGAGCCGAGAUCUGUGCCCUGAACAUGUCGCUCAGGCGUCUCCAGGGACACUGUCCAGACAGAUCGCUGCGGUGGUCUAGGUAUGCAGCGGACACAAUCCGCUUGGACCAGUGUUGCAGCAAGUUAAUGCGGGUAGGUGACAGUACUUCAUGCUCAGGUGGCCUGAGGAAGUACCGGAAUUUAGGAUAAAGUCUGAUUUACCGAUGGCAUUUUAAAGGUAAUCUAAGAUGAUCCUUCUAACUUCCUACACGGAUAUUUACUAAAAGUUUGUAGACGGAUUCUAAAGGUUUUGAGUUCGCAUAUUUUUUUC
Molecule: long non-coding RNA, 941 nt
Organism: Balaenoptera ricei (Rice's whale)
Lineage: Eukaryota; Metazoa; Chordata; Mammalia; Artiodactyla; Balaenopteridae
Exons: 5
Source: RefSeq, a predicted model, not a curated record